Magnolia sinica is the source of this 1714-nucleotide long non-coding RNA. RefSeq lists it as uncharacterized. The record is from RefSeq and is a predicted model, not a curated record. The transcript is spliced from 4 exons. NCBI's taxonomy places the organism in Eukaryota, Viridiplantae, Streptophyta, Magnoliopsida, Magnoliales, Magnoliaceae.
GAUUUCCUCAUCGACUCGAGAAGUUUCAGGAACUUUGCACCCCGCAUCUAAAAAACACACCCGAAUAACUUCCAUUCCUUCGUGAUGUUUCGUAAUCAUUCCAAAAACUUUUAUAGUUUCGCCCCAGAAAUCCCAUCAAAGAAGAAAGUUUGCAGUAUCACUCAUUUGCAUUUCCAAAAGGUUAAGACAAGGGACAAAGAUGGCCGCAGCCAAUAUGCGUGGAAUGACUGCAUUUCCUGUUAAAAACAUUCUCAAACAAAUCCAUCCCAUGAAAGGAACAUUGGGAAUCUUAACUACAGCCCCAAAGAAACAAGGAGAAAAUAACAUUGAGGGCGGGCCCAUCACGGAUGACAAAGCUGAACCCAUUGUUGCCUUCAACAAGCCGCUGCCGCCACCAGUUCUCGGUCCUUUUGUCGUCCUCUCAUUGCUGGAAAUGGGAUCAGACCAUGAUGGAAAGGAUGACUGAGUGGUACUGAAUUCUCGUUGCUGUUACUUGAAAUAGGGCAGAGCGAUGCUCAUAAUAUUCUAGCAUAAUGUUGAGUAGUUUCACUUGAACAACUUAAAAAUAUUUAGUAGUAUGUUGAAAACGCAGCCAAACAAGCGGGCCACAAAUUUCCAUAGGUGGGUGUAAUACACCAAAACUGGAAGGAUCAUAGGCUCAACCAAUAUCUUGUAAAUUUUCAAUAGAAACUUAAGUACUAUAUGAGGUUUUUGAAGGAAUCCUGCCACAGAAAAAGCAGAAGCUGUCACUUACAUAUCACAAGGGCCUUGCAUAAGAUACUAAGUAGUGAAAUGUUGAAAGCAACAUACUCUCUGUCAAAUUCGGAAAUUGGUCAAAUACAGAACUGACCACCGACAACAGUUUCUGAAAUUCUCAAAUGGCAGCCCAAAUCAGCAGACAGAAUUUAAAAAUCUAAAUUAUCUUUAACUUGGAAAUUUGAGCACAAGAAACGGAGUUUCAAAGUAAAAUGAUGAUGAUUGAUUUUCAUGGCCUACAUCUCUCUUUCUUAGACUGAUAAUUGCAAUCCAUUUGACAAUGCACCAAAUCACAUGUUUGUUUUUCUUAAUUGAUUUGCAAUUACGAUACCUUGGAUUGGCAUCAAACCAUGCAUUGUUUCUGUAUUUAGGCCAUGUUUGGAUUUACAGGUGAAUUGAAUCAAUUCGCAAUCAAGAGGAAAUGUAAGAAAGAAAUUUAUGAUUCUUCCUUUUUUAUUGGAUCCAAUUUGAUAUUGCAUCCAAACAUCAAAGCUUUAAAUCGUAAUCCGGAGUUAUCAAUUUAUCAAUUUAUUGAAAAUUCUAGCUUCACCAGCCGCCACGAGUUUUCUAUAUAUAAAUGAAGUGCAACUUUAGUUAUCUUUCAGGUCUCUAUUGCAGCUUUUUAGGAAUUAUAAGAUCGUGUGACUGAUGAGUCCUUAGAAACAUGAUCCCCACCAGAUAAACCGAACAUGAAGCAUGAUGUUCGCUUUUGAUUUUGAAGUUCCCAACAGCCCAUCUAAAGGUGAUUGAUGCUUCGCGAGAGGGGUCCUUGGGCAAAGAUCCUAUAGUUCCAGUUUGAACGAAAUAAGAGGUAUUUUACCAGCAGAAAUACUCCUGGCUUCACCGGCGAUUCAAUCACAACCCGAGCUUUCCUGCAUGCAUGCAACAGUUCUUAAUCAGUGACCCGAAAAUUCAAGACAUAAAUGGCGAGAAGAAAAGAAUGAGGAGAAUCUCCCAC